UUGGUCUGGGACAACCAUAGGAAACUGUGGCUAAUACCGGAUAUGACCCCAUUAACUACGGUUUAUGAGGUAAAAGAUUUAUCGCCAUUAGAUGGGUCCAAGUCGCAUCAGGUUGUUGGUAGGGUAAUGGCCUACCAAGCCUAUGACGCGUAGCAGGUCUUAGCGGAUGAUCUGCCACAUGGGGACUGAGAUACGGCCCUGACUCCUACGGGAGGCAGCAGUGAGGAAUAUUGGGCAAUGGACGCAAGUCUGACCCAGCGAUGCCGCGUGAAGGAUGAAGGCCUUAGGGUUGUAAACUUCUGUCAGCAGGGAAGAUAAUGACGGUACCUGCAGAGGAAGCCCCGGCUAACUCCGUGCCAGCAGCCGCGGUAAUACGGAGGGGGCAAACGUUACUCGGAUUUACUGGGCGUAAAGGGUCCGUAGGCGGUUUUUUAAGUUAGAUGUGAAAGCUUGAAGCUUAACUUCAAAAUUGCAUCUAAAACUGGAUAACUAGAUUAUUGGAGAGGUUGAUGGAAUUACCGGUGUAGCGGUGAAAUGCGUAGAUAUCGGUAGGAACACCAGUGGCGAAAGCGAUCAACUGGCCAAUCAAUGACGCUGAGGGACGAAAGCGUGGGUAGCAAACAGGAUUAGAUACCCUGGUAGUCCACGCCCUAAACGAUGAAUACUAGAUGUAGGAUUUUUUCUGUAUCGUAGCUAACGCAUUAAGUAUUCCGCCUGGGGAGUACGGUCGCAAGGCUGAAACUCAAAGGAAUUGGCGGGGACUCGCACAAGCGGUGGAGCAUGUGGUUUAAUUCGAUGCUAAGCGAAGAACCUUACCAGGGCUUGACAUGUAAGCAUAAGCUUGCGUGAA
This 850-nucleotide ribosomal RNA is filed under the name marine metagenome. RNAcentral describes it as "bacterial SSU rRNA". It matches the Rfam family "Bacterial small subunit ribosomal RNA", at positions 133 to 1006 of the family's 1533-position model. The record is from RNAcentral.